Molecule: ribosomal RNA, 792 nt
Filed under: uncultured archaeon
Lineage: Archaea
Description: bacterial SSU rRNA
Rfam family: Archaeal small subunit ribosomal RNA
Source: RNAcentral
ACGGCUCAGUAACACGUGGAUAACCUACCCUCAGAUCUGGGAUAACUCCGGGAAACUGGAGAUAAUACCGGAUAAUCCGUGAACGCUGGAAUGCCUCACGGUUGAAAGCUUUAGCGUCUGAGGAUGGGUCUGCGGCCGAUUAGGUAGUUGCUGGGGUAACGUCCCAACAAGCCGAUAAUCGGUACGGGUUGUGAGAGCAAGAGCCCGGAGAUGGAUUCUGAGACACGAAUCCAGGUCCUACGGGGCGCAGCAGGCGCGAAAACUUUACACUGCGCGAAAGCGCGAUAAGGGGACCUCGGGUGCGUGCGCAAUGCGUACGCUUUUCAGAUGCCUAAAAAGCAUCUGGAAUAAGGGCCGGGCAAGACCGGUGCCAGCCGCCGCGGUAACACCGGCGGCUCAAGUGGUGGCCGCUAUUAUUGGGCUUAAAGGGUCCGUAGCCGGACCAGUUAGUCCCUUGGGAAAUCUUACGGCUCAACCGUAAGGCUGCCAAUGGAUACUGCUGGUCUUGGGACCGGGAGAGGCAAGAGGUACCUCAGGGGUAGGAGUGAAAUCCUGUAAUCCUUGAGGGACCGCCAGUGGCGAAGGCGUCUUGCUAGAACGGGUCCGACGGUGAGGGACGAAAGCUAGGGGCACGAACCGGAUUAGAUACCCGGGUAGUCCUAGCCGUAAACGAUGCGAGCUAGGUGUCACGUGGAUUGCGAAUCCAUGUGGUGCCGUAGGGAAACCGUGAAGCUCGCCGCCUGGGAAGUACGAUCGCAAGAUUGAAACUUAAAGGAAUUGGCGGGGGAGCAC